GAUGAACGCUAGCUACAGGCUUAACACAUGCAAGUCGAGGGGCAGCAUGACCUAGCAAUAGGUUGAUGGCGACCGGCGCACGGGUGAGUAACACGUAUCCAACCUGCCGAUUAUUCCGGGAUAGCCUUUCGAAAGAAAGAUUAAUACUGGAUAGCAUAACGAGAAGGCAUCUUCUUGUUAUUAAAGAAUUUCGAUAAUCGAUGGGGACGCGUUCCAUUAGUUUGUUGGCGGGGUAACGGCCCACCAAGACAUCGAUGGAUAGGGGUUCUGAGAGGAAGGUCCCCCACAUUGGAACUGAGACACGGUCCAAACUCCUACGGGAGGCAGCAGUGAGGAAUAUUGGUCAAUGGACGAGAGUCUGAACCAGCCAAGUAGCGUGAAGGAUGACUGCCCUAUGGGUUGUAAACUUCUUUUAUAUGGGAAUAAAGUGGGCCACGUGUGGCUUUUUGUAUGUACCAUACGAAUAAGGAUCGGCUAACUCCGU
This 484-nucleotide ribosomal RNA is filed under the name uncultured bacterium. RNAcentral describes it as "partial 16S ribosomal RNA". It matches the Rfam family "Bacterial small subunit ribosomal RNA", at positions 28 to 506 of the family's 1533-position model. The record is from RNAcentral.